This 815-nucleotide ribosomal RNA is filed under the name Salmonella enterica subsp. enterica serovar Indiana. RNAcentral's name for it is "partial 23S ribosomal RNA". It matches the Rfam family "Bacterial large subunit ribosomal RNA", at positions 371 to 1190 of the family's 2925-position model. Lineage: Bacteria; Pseudomonadati; Pseudomonadota; Gammaproteobacteria; Enterobacterales; Enterobacteriaceae. The record is from RNAcentral.
CCCCGUACACAAAAGCGCAUGUGCUGUGAGCUCGAUGAGUAGGGCGGGACACGUGGUAUCCUGUCUGAAUAUGGGGGGACCAUCCUCCAAGGCUAAAUACUCCUGACUGACCGAUAGUGAACCAGUACCGUGAGGGAAAGGCGAAAAGAACCCCGGCGAGGGGAGUGAAAAAGAACCUGAAACCGUGUACGUACAAGCAGUGGGAGCACCCUUCGGGGUGUGACUGCGUACCUUUUGUAUAAUGGGUCAGCGACUUAUAUUCUGUAGCAAGGUUAACCGAAUAGGGGAGCCGGAGGGAAACCGAGUCUUAAUUGGGCGUUAAGUUGCAGGGUAUAGACCCGAAACCCGGUGAUCUAGCCAUGGGCAGGUUGAAGGUUGGGUAACACUAACUGGAGGACCGAACCGACUAAUGUUGAAAAAUUAGCGGAUGACCUGUGGCUGGGGGUGAAAGGCCAAUCAAACCGGGAGAUAGCUGGUUCUCCCCGAAAGCUAUUUAGGUAGCGCCUCGUGAAUUCAUCUCCGGGGGUAGAGCACUGUUUCGGCUAGGGGGCCAUCCCGGCUUACCAACCCGAUGCAAACUGCGAAUACCGGAGAAUGUUAUCACGGGAGACACACGGCGGGUGCUAACGUCCGUCGUGAAGAGGGAAACAACCCAGACCGCCAGCUAAGGUCCCAAAGUCAUGGUUAAGUGGGAAACGAUGUGGGAAGGCCCAGACAGCCAGGAUGUUGGCUUAGAAGCAGCCAUCAUUUAAAGAAAGCGUAAUAGCUCACUGGUCGAGUCGGCCUGCGCGGAAGAUGUAACGGGGCUAAACCAU